This 255-nucleotide ribosomal RNA is filed under the name uncultured bacterium. Its description in RNAcentral is "partial 16S ribosomal RNA". It matches the Rfam family "Bacterial small subunit ribosomal RNA", at positions 524 to 779 of the family's 1533-position model. The record is from RNAcentral.
UACGAAGGGGGCUAGCGUUGCUCGGAAUCACUGGGCGUAAAGGGUGCGUAGGCGGGUUCUUAAGUCAGAGGUGAAAUCCUGGAGCUCAACUCCAGAACUGCCUUUGAUACUGAGAGUCUUGAGUACGGGAGAGGUGAGUGGAACUGCGAGUGUAGAGGUGAAAUUCGUAGAUAUUCGGAAGAACACCAGUGGCGAAGGCGCUCACUGGCCCGUUACUGACGCUCAGGCGCGACAGCGUGGGGAGCAAACGAGGAU